UACGUAGGGUGCAAGCGUUGUCCGGAAUUAUUGGGCGUAAAGAGCUCGUAGGCGGCUUGUUGCGUCGGCUGUGAAAUCCCGGGGCUUAACUCCGGGCGUGCAGCCGAUACGGGCAGGCUAGAGUCCGGUAGGGGAGACUGGAAUUCCUGGUGUAGCGGUGAAAUGCGCAGAUAUCAGGAGGAACACCGGUGGCGAAGGCGGUUCUCUGGGCCUUACCUGACGCUGAGGAGCGAAAGUGUGGGGAGCGAACAGG
Molecule: ribosomal RNA, 253 nt
Filed under: uncultured bacterium
Lineage: Bacteria
Description: partial 16S ribosomal RNA
Rfam family: Bacterial small subunit ribosomal RNA
Source: RNAcentral